Molecule: ribosomal RNA, 467 nt
Filed under: uncultured bacterium
Lineage: Bacteria
Description: bacterial SSU rRNA
Rfam family: Bacterial small subunit ribosomal RNA
Source: RNAcentral
AUUGAACGCUGGCGGCAUGCUUUACACAUGCAAGUCGAACGGUAACAGGCCGCAAGGUGCUGACGAGUGGCGAACGGGUGAGUAAUGUAUCGGAACGUGCCCAGUCGUGGGGGAUAACGCAGCGAAAGCUGCGCUAAUACCGCAUACGAUCUAUGGAUGAAAGCGGGGGAUCGCAAGACCUCGCGCGAUUGGAGCGGCCGAUAUCAGAUUAGGUAGUUGGUGAGGUAAAGGCUCACCAAGCCAACGAUCUGUAGCUGGUCUGAGAGGACGACCAGCCACACUGGAACUGAGACACGGUCCAGGCUCCUACGGGAGGCAGCAGUGGGGAAUUUUGGACAAUGGGCGCAAGCCUGAUCCAGCAAUGCCGCGUGCAGGAUGAAGGCCUUCGGUGUAAACUGCUUUGUACGGAACGAACGGUGAAGCGUCUAAUACAGUUGCUAAUGACGGUACCGUAAGAAUAAGACACC